GAUGAACGCUGGCGGCGUGCCUAAUACAUGCAAGUCGAGCGAACAGACGAGGAGCUUGCUCCUCUGACGUUAGCGGCGGACGGGUGAGUAACACGUGGAUAACCUACCUAUAAGACUGGGAUAACUUCGGGAAACCGGAGCUAAUACCGGAUAAUAUAUUGAACCGCAUGGUUCAAUAGUGAAAGACGGUUUUGCUGUCACUUAUAGAUGGAUCCGCGCCGCAUUAGCUAGUUGGUAAGGUAACGGCUUACCAAGGCAACGAUGCGUAGCCGACCUGAGAGGGUGAUCGGCCACACGGGAAGUGAGACACGGUCCAGACUCCGAAGGGAGGCAGAAGGGGGGAAUCUGGCACAAUGGGCGAAAGCUGGACGGAGCAGCGCCGAGGGAGUGAAGAAGGUUUUCGGUGCGUAAAGCUCUGUUGUUGGGAAAGAAAAAAUGUGUAAGAAUAAAUCCGGGUUAUGACGGUACCUAAUAAAAAAGCCCCGGCUAACUACGUG
Molecule: ribosomal RNA, 497 nt
Filed under: uncultured bacterium
Lineage: Bacteria
Description: partial 16S ribosomal RNA
Rfam family: Bacterial small subunit ribosomal RNA
Source: RNAcentral